Molecule: ribosomal RNA, 479 nt
Filed under: Ferdauia ferdau (blue trevally)
Lineage: Eukaryota; Metazoa; Chordata; Actinopteri; Carangiformes; Carangidae
Description: partial small subunit ribosomal RNA
Rfam family: Bacterial small subunit ribosomal RNA
Source: RNAcentral
CACUAUGCUUAGCCUUAAACAUUGAUUGUUUACCACAUCAAACAUCCGCCUGGGAAUUACGAACACUAGUUUAAAACCCAAAGGACUUGGCGGUGCUUAACAUCCACCUAGAGGAGCCUGUUCUAGAACCGAUAACCCCCGUUUAACCUCACCCUCCCUAGUUUUCUCCCGCCUAUAUACCACCGUCGCCAGCUUACCCUGUGAAGGCCUAAUAGUAAGCACAAUUGGCACAGCCCAAAACGUCAGGUCGAGGUGUAGUGCAUGAGAGGGGAAGAAAUGGGCUACAUUCGCUGCCUACCAGCGAAUACGAAUGAUGCAUUGAAAUAUGCAACUGAAGGAGGAUUUAGCAGUAAGUAGAAAGCAGAGUGUUCCACUGAAACCGGCUCUUAAGCGCGCACACACCGCCCGUCACCCUCUCCGAGCAUCUGGCCCCAAAUUUUAUUAAAUCCUAACAACCGCGAAGGAGAGGAAAGUCGUAA